RNAcentral lists this ribosomal RNA (402 nucleotides) under uncultured Acetobacteraceae bacterium. Its description in RNAcentral is "bacterial SSU rRNA". It matches the Rfam family "Bacterial small subunit ribosomal RNA", at positions 353 to 772 of the family's 1533-position model. The record is from RNAcentral. Lineage: Bacteria; Pseudomonadati; Pseudomonadota; Alphaproteobacteria; Acetobacterales; Acetobacteraceae.
AGUGGGGAAUAUUGGGCAAUGGGCGCAAGCCUGACCCAGCAAUGCCGCGUGGGUGAAGAAGGUCUUCGGAUUGUAAAGCCCUUUCGGCGGGGACGAUGGUGACGGUACCCGCAGAAGAAGCCCCGGCUAACUUCGUGCCAGCAGCCGCGGUAAUACGAAGGGGGCUAGCGUUGCUCGGAAUUACUGGGCGUAAAGGGCGCGUAGGCGGCUCUGUUAGUCAGGCGUGAAAUCCCUGGGCUCAACCUGGGGGCUGCGCUUGAUACGGCGGGGCUAGAGGACGGAAGAGGCUCGUGGAAUUCCCAGUGUAGAGGUGAAAUUCGUAGAUAUUGGGAAGAACACCGGUGGCGAAGGCGGCGAGCUGGUCCGUUACUGACGCUGAGGCGCGACAGCGUGGGGAGCAAA